RNAcentral lists this ribosomal RNA (394 nucleotides) under uncultured bacterium. Its description in RNAcentral is "bacterial SSU rRNA". It matches the Rfam family "Bacterial small subunit ribosomal RNA", at positions 97 to 520 of the family's 1533-position model. The record is from RNAcentral.
GGCAGACGGCUGAGUAACGCGUGGAAACCUGCCCUGGGGUGGGGGAUAAGCCCGCGAAAGCGGGUCUAAUACCGCAUACGGUAGCUUCGGCUAAGAAAGCCUGUGGGUGCCCUUGGAGGGGUCCGCGUCCGAUUAGCUGGUUGGUGGGGUAACGGCCUACCAAGGCGACGAUCGGUAGCUGGUCUGAGAGGAUGAUCAGCCAGACUGGGACUGGGACACGGCCCAGACUCCUACGGGAGGCAGCAGUUAGGAAUUUUGGGCAAUGGCCGCAAGGCUGACCCAGCAACGCCGCGUGGGGGAUGAAGGCUCUUGGGUUGUAAACCCCUUUUCCCAGGGACGAUAGUGACGGUACCUGGGGAAGAAGCCCCGGCUAACUACGUGCCAGCAGCCGCGG